CUAACAUGGUGGUUGAAGUAUUAGGUGUUGAACUUUCUUAGUGGCGAACGGGUGAGUAACGCGUGGGCAACCUGCCCUCUAGAUGGGGACAACAUCCCGAAAGGGGUGCUAAUACCGAAUGUGACAGCAAUCUCGCAUGAGGAUGCUGUGAAAGAUGGCCUCUAUUUAUAAGCUAUCGCUAGGGGAUGGGCCUGCGUCUGAUUAGCUAGGUUGGUGGGGUAACGGCCUACCAAGGCGAUGAUCAGUAGCCGGUCUGAGAGGAUGAACGGCCACAUUGGGACUGAGACACGGCCCCAGACUCCUACGGGAGGCAGCAGUGGGGAAUCUUCCGCAAUGGGCGAAAGCCUGACGGAGCAAUGCCGCGUGAGUGAUGAAGGAAUUCGUUCCGUAAAGCUCUUUUGUUUAUGACGAAUGUGCAGAUUGUAAAUAAUGAUCUGUAAUGACGGUAGUAAACGAAUAAGCCACGGCUAACUACGUG
Molecule: ribosomal RNA, 478 nt
Filed under: uncultured bacterium
Lineage: Bacteria
Description: bacterial SSU rRNA
Rfam family: Bacterial small subunit ribosomal RNA
Source: RNAcentral